CCUACGAGUGGCAGCAGUGAGGAAUAUUGGUCAAUGGGCGGAAGCCUGAACCAGCCAAGUAGCGUGCAGGAUGACGGCCCUACGGGUUGUAAACUGCUUUUAUACGGGACUAACGCGCCUUACGUGUAGGGCUUUGCAUGUACCGUAUGAAUAAGGACCGGCUAAUUCCGUGCCAGCAGCCGCGGUAAUACGGGAGGUCCGGGCGUUAUCCGGGUUGAUUGGGUGAAAAGGGAGCGUAGGCCGCAUGUCAAGCGUGCUGUGAAAUGUCCGGGCUCAACCCGGGCCUUGCAGCGCGAACUGGUGUGCUUGAGUCCGCGGAAAGCAGGCGGAAUGCGUCGUGUAGCGGUGAAAUGCUUAGAUAUGACGAAGAACCCCGAUUGCGAAGGCAGCUUGCUGCAGCGGAACUGACGCUGAUGCUCGAAAGCGCGGGUAUCGAACAGGAUUAGAUACCCCAGUAGUC
This 460-nucleotide ribosomal RNA is filed under the name uncultured bacterium. RNAcentral's name for it is "partial 16S ribosomal RNA". It matches the Rfam family "Bacterial small subunit ribosomal RNA", at positions 338 to 795 of the family's 1533-position model. The record is from RNAcentral.